AUUGAACGCUGGCGGCAUGCCUUACACAUGCAAGUCGAACGGCAGCACGGGGCAACCUGGUGGCGAGUGGCGAACGGGUGAGUAAUGCAUCGGAACGUGCCAUUGAGUGGGGGAUAACGUAGCGAAAGUUGCGCUAAUACCGCAUAUUCUGUGAGCAGGAAAGCAGGGACCGCAAGGCCUUGCGCUCUUUGAGCGGCCGAUGUCAGAUUAGCUAGUUGGUGAGGUAAAGGCUUACCAAGGCGACGAUCUGUAGCGGGUCUGAGAGGAUGAUCCGCCACACUGGAACUGAGACACGGUCCAGACUCCUACGGGAGGCAGCAGUGGGGAAUUUUGGACAAUGGGCGCAAGCCUGAUCCAGCCAUGCCGCGUGAGUGAAGAAGGCC
This 383-nucleotide ribosomal RNA is filed under the name uncultured bacterium. Its description in RNAcentral is "bacterial SSU rRNA". It matches the Rfam family "Bacterial small subunit ribosomal RNA", at positions 30 to 416 of the family's 1533-position model. The record is from RNAcentral.